UUCCUUCAGUUCUCACUCAUUCACAGUAAAGAUGACAGCACACGCUCUCAUUAUCUGCUCUCUUCUGCUUUUCACUGCUGAGUGUGAUGGACAGAUCACAGUCACUCAGAGUCCCUCAAUAACAGCUCAACCAGGACAACAAGUUCAAAUAAACUGUAAAACCAGCAGUGAUGUCUACUGGGAUAGUACUUAUGGCUCCCGCUUAGCCUGGUACUUACAGAAACCUGGAGAAGCUCCUAAACUCCUCAUUUAUCUGACUGAUAAACUGCAGUCAGGAACUCCAUCUAGAUUCAGUGGCAGUGGAUCUAAAAGUGAUUUCACUCUGACCAUCAGUGGAGUCCAGACUGAAGAUGCAGGACAUUAUUACUGUCAGAGUUAUCAUUACAUCAACAGUAAAGAUGUGUUCACACAGUGA
Molecule: non-coding RNA, 415 nt
Organism: Xyrauchen texanus (razorback sucker)
Lineage: Eukaryota; Metazoa; Chordata; Actinopteri; Cypriniformes; Catostomidae
Source: the annotation of a RefSeq genome assembly